RNAcentral lists this transfer RNA (70 nucleotides) under Brachymeles sp. B CDS-2011. RNAcentral's name for it is "tRNA-Ala". It matches the Rfam family "tRNA". Rfam says of the family: Transfer RNA (tRNA) molecules are approximately 80 nucleotides in length. Their secondary structure includes four short double-helical elements and three loops (D, anti-codon, and T loops). Further hydrogen bonds mediate the characteristic L-shaped molecular structure. tRNAs have two regions of fundamental functional importance: the anti-codon, which is responsible for specific mRNA codon recognition, and the 3' end, to which the tRNAs corresponding amino acid is attached (by aminoacyl-tRNA synthetases). tRNAs cope with the degeneracy of the genetic code in two manners: having more than one tRNA (with a specific anti-codon) for a particular amino acid; and 'wobble' base-pairing, i.e. permitting non-standard base-pairing at the 3rd anti-codon position. Lineage: Eukaryota; Metazoa; Chordata; Lepidosauria; Squamata; Scincidae. The record is from RNAcentral.
GAGGUGUUAGCUUAAUUAAAGCAUUUGAAUUGCAAUCAGAAGAUGUAGGUUAAAGUUUUACACGCCUUAA